Molecule: non-coding RNA, 295 nt
Organism: Oryzias latipes (Japanese medaka)
Lineage: Eukaryota; Metazoa; Chordata; Actinopteri; Beloniformes; Adrianichthyidae
Source: RefSeq, a predicted model, not a curated record
CCUUCCUGCCGGCGCUCGCUGCUGUGGGGCAGCCUCAUUCGCCAUCAGCUCGGUUGCCUGGGAGACCUGGAGGAGGUCACAGAACCCUCUUCCCAGGACCACUGGGCGGACGAGCUGCAGAUGUGAAGAGAGGAUCGUGGUGGACGCCGCACCGUUUCUUUCUGUUGGACUGUUGAGAAACGACCGUAAAAAUCAAUGAGUGUCCUUUUUUAAUGAUGACAUUUUAAAUGUUUUUUUGCAGAGGAAGAUCUUUCAUGAGUUAUGGUCUGACCAAUAAAUUAUUUAUUUGCCCUCA